Molecule: long non-coding RNA, 218 nt
Filed under: Lathyrus oleraceus (garden pea)
Lineage: Eukaryota; Viridiplantae; Streptophyta; Magnoliopsida; Fabales; Fabaceae
Description: Pisum sativum (pea) long non-coding RNA (PSAT_LNC023997)
Source: RNAcentral
GUAGAUAAACCUUACUCCAUUUGGAUUGAAGAGGAAAAGAGAAAGAUACACAUAGAUCUUAAAACAAAGAACUUUAUAAUAAUGUCUCUAGAUGAUAGCAAAAAUUAUGAUGUUCAUAGUUGUAAAAAUACCAAGAAAACGUAGGAGACUCUUGAAAUGAUAUAUGCAGUUUCUCCUGGUAUCAAACAAGAGAAGAUUGAAAAUUAUGUUGGAAACGG